CCUACGGGAUGCAGCAGUGAGGAAUAUUGGUCAAUGGGCGGGAGCCUGAACCAGCCAAGCCGCGUGAGGGAAGAAGGUACAGCGUAUCGUAAACCUCUUUUGUCAGGGAACAAAGGCGGGGACUAGUCCCCGGAUGAGGGUACCUGAAGAAAAAGCAUCGGCUAACUCCGUGCCAGCAGCCGCGGUAAUACGGGGGAUGAGAGCGUUGUCCGGAUUUAUGGGGUUUAAAGGGUUCGCAGGCGGCCUGUUAAGUCAGCGGUAAAAGCCCGGGGGUAAACCCCGGCGAGCCGUUGAAACUGGCGGGCUGGAGUUGGAGAGAAGUACGCGGAAUGCGCGGUGUAGCGGUGAAAUGCUUAGAUAUCGCGCAGAACCCCGAUUGCGAAGGCAGCGUACCGGCUCCACACUGACGCUGAGGCACGAAAGCGUGGGUAUCGAACAGGAUUAGAUACCCCGGUAGUC
Molecule: ribosomal RNA, 459 nt
Filed under: uncultured bacterium
Lineage: Bacteria
Description: partial 16S ribosomal RNA
Rfam family: Bacterial small subunit ribosomal RNA
Source: RNAcentral